RNAcentral lists this ribosomal RNA (450 nucleotides) under uncultured bacterium. RNAcentral's name for it is "partial 16S ribosomal RNA". It matches the Rfam family "Bacterial small subunit ribosomal RNA", at positions 354 to 796 of the family's 1533-position model. The record is from RNAcentral.
GUGGGGAAUUUUGGACAAUGGGCGCAAGCCUGAUCCAGCAAUGCCGCGUGCAGGAAGAAGGCCUUCGGGUUGUAAACUGCUUUUGUACGGAACGAAACGGUCCUGGUUAAUACCCGGGGCUAAUGACGGUACCGUAAGAAUAAGCACCGGCUAACUACGUUCCAGCAGCCGCGGUAAUACGUAGGGUGCAAGCGUUAAUCGGAAUUACUGGGCGUAAAGCGUGCGCAGGCGGUUUUGUAAGACAGGCCGGAAAUCCCCGGGCUCAACCUGGGAAUUGCGGUUGUGACUGCAAGGCUGGAGUGCGGCAGAGGGGGAUGGAAUUCCGCGUGUAGCAGUGAAAUGCGUAGAUAUGCGGAGGAACACCGAUGGCGAAGGCAAUCCCCUGGGCCUGCACUGACGCUCAUGCACGAAAGCGUGGGGAGCAAACAGGAUUAGAAACCCUAGUAGUCC